This 403-nucleotide ribosomal RNA is filed under the name uncultured bacterium. RNAcentral's name for it is "partial 16S ribosomal RNA". It matches the Rfam family "Bacterial small subunit ribosomal RNA", at positions 28 to 526 of the family's 1533-position model. The record is from RNAcentral.
GACGAACGCUGGCGGCGUGCCUAAUACAUGCAAGUCGAACGCAGUGGGGACGGGUGAGUAACACGUGGGUAACCUCCCAUCAGAGGGGAUAACACUUGGACACAGGUGCUAAACCGAUACUGAUGGAUGGACCCGCGGUGCAUUAGCUAGUGGGUGAGGUAACGGCUCACCAAGGCCCCGAUGCAUAGCGGACCGGAUAGGGUGAUCGGCAACACGGGGACUGAGAAACGGCCCAGAUUCCUACGGGAGGAAGAAGUAGGGAAGCUUCGGCAAUGGACGAAAGUCUGACCGAGCAACGCGGCGUGAGGGAAGAAGGUUUUCGGAUCGUAAAACUCUGUUGUUAGAGAAGCGGUAUCUAACCAGAAAGCCACGGCUAACUACGUGCCAGCAGCCGCGGUAAUUC